RNAcentral lists this ribosomal RNA (253 nucleotides) under uncultured bacterium. RNAcentral describes it as "partial 16S ribosomal RNA". It matches the Rfam family "Bacterial small subunit ribosomal RNA", at positions 524 to 776 of the family's 1533-position model. The record is from RNAcentral.
UACGAAGGGUGCAAACGUUGCUCGGAAUUAUUGGGCGUAAAGCGCACGUAGGCGGCUUAGCAAGUCGGAAGUGAAAGCCCUCGGCUCAACCAAGGAAGUGCUUUCGAAACUGCUGAGCUUGAGUACUUAAGAGGAUCGCGGAAUUCCCGGUGUAGAGGUGAAAUUCGUAGAUAUCGGGAGGAACACCAGUGGCGAAGGCGGCUCACUGGUCCGGUACUGACGCUGAGGUGCGAAAGCGUGGGGAGCAAACAGG